UAGGGAAUCUUCGGCAAUGGACGAAAGUCUGACCGAGCAACGCCGCGUGAGUGAAGAAGGUUUUCGGAUCGUAAAACUCUGUUGUUAGAGAAGAACAAGGACGUUAGUAACUGAACGUCCCCUGACGGUAUCUAACCAGAAAGCCACGGCUAACUACGUGCCAGCAGCCGCGGUAAUACGUAGGUGGCAAGCGUUGUCCGGAUUUAUUGGGCGUAAAGCGAGCGCAGGCGGUUUCUUAAGUCUGAUGUGAAAGCCCCCGGCUCAACCGGGGAGGGUCAUUGGAAACUGGGAGGCUGGAGUGCAGAAGAGGAGAGUGGAAAUCCAUGUGUAGCGGUGAAAUGCGUAGAUAUAUGGAGGAACACCAGUGGCGGAGGCGGCUCUCUGGAAUGUAACUGACGCUGAGGCUAGAAAGCGUGGGGAGCAAACAGG
Molecule: ribosomal RNA, 429 nt
Filed under: Gemmatimonadota bacterium
Lineage: Bacteria; Pseudomonadati; Gemmatimonadota
Description: Gemmatimonadetes bacterium partial 16S ribosomal RNA
Rfam family: Bacterial small subunit ribosomal RNA
Source: RNAcentral